GAUGAACGCUGGCGGCGUGCCUAAUACAUGCAAGUCGAGCGAACGGACGAGAAGCUUGCUUCUCUGAUGUUAGCGGCGGACGGAUGAGUAACACGUGGAUAACCUACCUAUAAGACUGGGAUAACUUCGGGGAACCGGAGCUAAUACCGGAUAAUAUUUUGAACCGCAUGGUUCAAAAGUGAAAGACGGUCUUGCUGUCACUUAUAGAUGGAUCCGCGCUGCAUUAGCUAGUUGGUAAGGUAACGGCUUACCAAGGCAACGAUGCAUAGCCGACCUGAGAGGGUGAUCGGCCACACUGGAACUGAGACACGGUCCAGACUCCUACGGGAGGCAGCAGUAGGGAAUCUUCCGCAAUGGGCGAAAGCCUGACGGAGCAACGCCGCGUGAGUGAUGAAGGUCUUCGGAUCGUAAAACUCUGUUAUUAGGGAAGAACAUAUGUGUAAGUAACUGUGCACAUCUUGACGGUACCUAAUCAGAAAGCCACGGCUAACUACGUGCCAGCAGCCGCGGUAAUACGUAGGUGGCAAGCGUUAUCCGGAAUUAUUGGGCGUAAAGCGCGCGUAGGCGGUUUUUUAGUCUGAUGUGAAAGCCCACGGCUCAACCGUGGAGGGUCAUUGGAAACUGGAAAACUUGAGUGCAGAAGAGGAAAGUGGAAUUCCAUGUGUAGCGGUGAAAUGCGCAGAGAUAUGGAGGAACACCAGUGGCGAAGGCGACUUUCUGGUCUGUAACUGACGCUGAUGUGCGAAAGCGUGGGGAUCAAACAGGAUUAGAUACCCUGGUAGUCCACGCCGUAAACGAUGAGUGCUAAGUGUUAGGGGGUUUCCGCCCCUUAGUGCUGCAGCUAACGCAUUAAGCACUCCGCCUGGGGAGUACGACCGCAAGGUUGAAACUCAAAGGAAUUGACGGGGACCCGCACAAGCGGUGGAGCAUGUGGUUUAAUUCGAAGCAACGCGAAGAACCUUACCAAAUCUUGACAUCCUUUGACAACUCUAGAGAUAGAGCCUUCCCCUUCGGGGGACAAAGUGACAGGUGGUGCAUGGUUGUCGUCAGCUCGUGUCGUGAGAUGUUGGGUUAAGUCCCGCAACGAGCGCAACCCUUAAGCUUAGUUGCCAUCAUUAAGUUGGGCACUCUAAGUUGACUGCCGGUGACAAACCGGAGGAAGGUGGGGAUGACGUCAAAUCAUCAUGCCCCUUAUGAUUUGGGCUACACACGUGCUACAAUGGACAAUACAAAGGGCAGCGAAACCGCGAGGUCAAGCAAAUCCCAUAAAGUUGUUCUCAGUUCGGAUUGUAGUCUGCAACUCGACUACAUGAAGCUGGAAUCGCUAGUAAUCGUAGAUCAGCAUGCUACGGUGAAUACGUUCCCGGGUCU
Molecule: ribosomal RNA, 1371 nt
Filed under: uncultured bacterium
Lineage: Bacteria
Description: bacterial SSU rRNA
Rfam family: Bacterial small subunit ribosomal RNA
Source: RNAcentral